AUCACUUCUCGGCCUUUUGGCUAAGAUCGAGUGUAGUAUCUAUGCACAAUGUUACAUUGACUUUGCAAAUAUCUAUGUAAUAUUUUUCUUACUUGUGUAGAUUUGAGCUUCAUAUGAAGAGAGUCAAAUUGUAU
Molecule: small nuclear RNA, 134 nt
Filed under: Naja naja (Indian cobra)
Lineage: Eukaryota; Metazoa; Chordata; Lepidosauria; Squamata; Elapidae
Description: U2 spliceosomal RNA (ENSNNAG00000002595.1)
Rfam family: U2 spliceosomal RNA
About the family: U2 is a small nuclear RNA (snRNA) component of the spliceosome (involved in pre-mRNA splicing). Complementary binding between U2 snRNA (in an area lying towards the 5' end but 3' to hairpin I) and the branchpoint sequence (BPS) of the intron results the bulging out of an unpaired adenosine, on the BPS, which initiates a nucleophilic attack at the intronic 5' splice site, thus starting the first of two transesterification reactions that mediate splicing.
Source: Rfam by way of RNAcentral